Long non-coding RNA from Thalassophryne amazonica, 228 nucleotides. RefSeq lists it as uncharacterized. The transcript has 3 exons. NCBI's taxonomy places the organism in Eukaryota, Metazoa, Chordata, Actinopteri, Batrachoidiformes, Batrachoididae. The record is from RefSeq and is a predicted model, not a curated record.
GAAGACAACAACUAACUAACGUUUUUGUUAGCGGAUUAGCUUUUCGAAUAAUUUUAAAAACCAUCAGCAGGCCAAUUACCUUCCGAUCAAUUUAGUUCAAAUAACUUUUAGACCACUAACAUUUUUCUGUGGGCAUAGUGAAUAAAAGCUUAACAGUUAGGAACAUUUGUUAAGUCUAAAGUCAAAGAUUUUAGUGACUGCCUGUUACAUGUUUUGUAGCAGACAGAC